Molecule: non-coding RNA, 301 nt
Organism: Onthophagus taurus
Lineage: Eukaryota; Metazoa; Arthropoda; Insecta; Coleoptera; Scarabaeidae
Source: RefSeq, a predicted model, not a curated record
AUUAGUGCGAUAUCGGACGAUAUCUCCUUAGAGGGUAUCGCUAGAAGAAAAUGUUUAUAUAUAAAGUUGUUUGGUGCUCAAAGGCUAUGUACAGGCAAUUGAUGGAGGCUAAAAACGCCAAAAAUAAGAUCGACCCAGAAAUAACACUGCAAUUUUUAAAAUCAGCAAUUUACUACUUCUUAACUGACAAAGAAAAUAGUCAAGGUCAUCUAAAAGCGAUCCAAAGCAUUUUAGGAUUCACCCCAGCCGAAAUUAAUCAAAUUGAUAAGAAUAGAACUAAUUAAAUUUAAAUAUAAACGUA